RNAcentral lists this ribosomal RNA (429 nucleotides) under uncultured bacterium. RNAcentral's name for it is "bacterial SSU rRNA". It matches the Rfam family "Bacterial small subunit ribosomal RNA", at positions 355 to 776 of the family's 1533-position model. The record is from RNAcentral.
UGGGGAAUAUUGGACAAUGGGGGCAACCCUGAUCCAGCGAUGCCGCGUGGGUGAAGAAGGCCUUCGGGUUGUAAAGCCCUUUAGGUUGGGACAAAGGUUAGCUGAGGAUAAUUCAGUUAGCUUGAUGGUACCGACAGAAUAAGCACCGGCAAACUCUGUGCCAGCAGCCGCGGUAAUACAGAGGGUGCGAGCGUUAAUCGGAUUUACUGGGCGUAAAGGGCGCGUAGGCGGUAUGAUGUGAGUGAUGUGAAAGCCCCGGGCUUAACCUGGGAAGCGCAUCGCAGACUAUCGUACUGGAGUAGAUGAGAGGGUGGCGGAAUUUCCGGUGUAGCGGUGAAAUGCGUAGAGAUCGGAAGGAACGUCGAUGGCGAAGGCAGCCACCUGGCAUCAUACUGACGCUGAGGCGCGAAAGCGUGGGGAUCGAACAGG